Molecule: long non-coding RNA, 1361 nt
Organism: Haplochromis burtoni (Burton's mouthbrooder)
Lineage: Eukaryota; Metazoa; Chordata; Actinopteri; Cichliformes; Cichlidae
Exons: 2
Source: RefSeq, a predicted model, not a curated record
CCUGCCUUUCGUGAGUGCACUCAGUGCCUCUCUGAGCCUUCACCCUCUUGUUUCUUGUUCUUUCUUGCUCUUCCCGCUUAGCCGUUUCUCUUUUUGUGCCUCUCCUCGUCUUCUUCACCAGCUGGGAUAAGUGUGUCUCGUCUUGUCUUCCUCCCCUCAUCCCAACCAGCCGCAGCAUAUGGUCGCCCCUGCCUAAGUUCUGCCGGAGGUUUCUUGCUGUUAAAAGGGAGUUUUUCCCUUCCCAUUCUCUCCAAAGUGAUUGCUUUAAGGGGGUCAAACAAUUGUUGGGUUUUUUUGUUUUCUUUGUGUCUAAGGGAAUGGGGUUUUGGGGGCUAACAGGAAGAGAGAAACUGCAUAGAGGAUGCAAGACUACAGCUCUGCUUGGUCCCAACUCUACAUAGUUAUGCAUCACACAAACAGCAGGUGCUGCUCUCUCAAACCCAUUAUUUUCAGUGGCUUUCACAGUACAACAAAGAAUGACUGGACCUUGUGGUAACUUAAAAUGGGCCUUGGGGUGUUGAUGAAGCAGCUAAGUAUGAUUAACUCAGUUGCAUCCGCACUUUAUAUAGCGAUAUAGCAUUGUCCACAUAACUGUUUGCAUUUGUUAAAACAGGCCCAAGAAAAAUCCUGGUGCCAAAAAAGUCCACCAGAGGAUUAAAUGACUACAGGCCUGUCGUGCUAACAUCUGUGGCUGUGAAGUCCUUUGAAAGACUUGUGUUAAGCCACCAGAAGGACAUUGCACUGGAAGUUCACCUAGCUUCCACCUGUCAGUGGAUCACCAGACCAUUAGCACCAGCCUCAUCCAGAGAUGUGUUCUCUCCACUGCUCUUCUCUCUCUAGACAAAUGAGUGCACCUCAGGAGAACCAUAUGUGAAACUCCUAUAGUUUAUCAAGGACACCAAUGUCAUUGGUCUGAUCCAGAAAUAUGAUGUGUCAGCAUACAGACAGGAAGUGGAUCCCCGCAAUCUGAAGUGGUCCUCACAUAUAGACUCUGUCUGAAAGAAGGCCCAGCAGAUGUUGAACUUCCUGCAGCUACUCAGGAAGUUCAACUUGCCACUGAAGCUGCUGGUCAUGUUCUACACUAUCAUCAUCCAAUCUGUCCUAUGCAUGUCAAUCACUGUCUGGUUCAGCUCAGCCACAAAGCAGGACAGGGCCAGACUGGAAAGGACAAUCAUGUCUGCAGAGAGGAUCAUUGGUGCUUAUGUUCCCUCCAUCCAGGACCUGUACAGGUCCAGGGCUAGGAGAUGGGCAGAAAACAGCGCUACAGGAUGUCAUUUACUAAAACAUUUGCUUUGACCACAGUUUAGGUAAAAAAAAAAAAGAUAACACCCCCCCCAAAAAAGACAAAAACAAAAAAAACA